This 665-nucleotide unclassified non-coding RNA is filed under the name Hevea brasiliensis (rubber tree). Lineage: Eukaryota; Viridiplantae; Streptophyta; Magnoliopsida; Malpighiales; Euphorbiaceae. The record is from RNAcentral.
UUUGUUUUGUCGAUUUUGCUUGAUGGAACAAUUUGAAUCAGCCGUAAAAAACUUGGAUAGUUUCCCAAUAGGCUGUGCCCGUGAGGGCUGUAGGGCUCUCAUAUUGCUUUCAGAUAUCAGGUGUCUGUUGUCUGGUGAGAAGAUGGAGGAACUCUUUAGGGCUUCUGUGGGGUCAUUUGUAGCAUCAAGUGGGGGAACCUACAGGUUUUGCCCAACUCCUGACUGCCCUUCUGUAUAUCGAGUUGCUGGUCCUGAGACAUCUAAACCAUUUGUCUGUGGAGCGUGUUUUGCAGAAACUUGUACUGGGUGCCAUUUGGAGCAUCAUCCAUACCUUUCAUGUGAGAGGUAUGCAGCAUUCAAGGAAGAUCCCGACUCGUCAUUGAAGGAGUGGUGCAGGGGAAGAGAGAGCGUGAAAAACUGCCCGGUUUGUGGCUAUACAAUUGAAAAGGUCGAUGGCUGCAACCAUGUUGUUUGCAAGUGCGGGAGGCAUAUCUGCUGGGUCUGUUUAGAGUCCUUUAACAGUGGUCCUGACUGCUAUGGCCACUUNNNNNNNNNNNNNGGCCAUAAGCUUUUAGUUCACUUACAUUUUCUACUUGUUUUCUAGUCUUGUAUACAAGUAUAAAUAUAAUUAUAAACAAUAGUAUCCACGGCCACCACCAUCCUGG